Salmo trutta (river trout) is the source of this 5734-nucleotide long non-coding RNA. The record is from Ensembl. NCBI's taxonomy places the organism in Eukaryota, Metazoa, Chordata, Actinopteri, Salmoniformes, Salmonidae.
UUCUUGCAGUUUUACUCCACCACAGGAUCAGAGACGGUCCCCUGAAGAGAGGAGAAAGAGAGAGAAGACAUUCCUACUGAAUCUGUGUCUUCAAGCAGCUCUCCAUGAGAGAGGAACCAUACAAACAAUUGUAGAGAAAGUGUUGUCACUGUCUAAAGUAUAUCACAAUCAGAAUUGGGAUUUCCUGCUGGAUCUGAGCUCAUAUGUGGUGGACUAUGAGACUCAAACAGGCAGGAGUGUCCUUCCAGCAUUACAACCAGUUUACCAGUCAGCUCCUGCAGUCUGGUCCAUAGACCUCUCAGAGAGAAAGGCCUCCCUCCUCCUAGAAGUGCUGAAACUCCAACCAGAGAAGAAACCAGUAGAGCUGAAGGGCUGGUCAGAUGAAGAGAGUGAACUAAGGAGUUUCCUUCAGUGUCUGCCCUACAUCUCACAGCUGAGGUGAGUGAGUUUAUCCAACAAGAGUCCAUAUGUCAUUGAACUGGUGUAGAUUGUAUUUAUGUUUUACACUGUCUUUAUCUUUUUAAUACAUGCACAUAUGAAGAUGCUUUAGAAACUCUAAUUCAGUAGGAAUUUAAAUUGAACAAAAUUCUAAUUCAUAGUUGUAUUGUUUUAAUAGAUGGAGUCAUAAGGUGCUAUUAGUUUUCAGUUCCCCUACCCUGUUAUUCAUAUCAGCCCUCAUCACUCACCUGUAUGUCAUCUGUGUUUUAAACUGUUUGUUCAGAUUUCUUCCACUGAUGGACAAUAUAGAGAGGAGAAAGAGAGAGAAGACAUUCCUAUUGAAUCUGUUUCUUCAAACAAUUCUCCAUGCUAGAGGAUCCAUACAUACAAUUAUAGAUAAAGUGUUGUCACUGUCUGAAGUAUAUGACUAUGAGAAAUGGGAUUUCCUGCUGGAUCUGUACUCACAUGUGAAGGACUAUGAGACUCAAACAGGCAGGAGUGUCCUUCCAGCAUUACAGCCAGUUUACCAGUCAGCUCCUGCAGUCUGGUCCAUAGACCUCUCAGAGAGAAAGGCCUCCCUCCUCCUAGAAAUGCUUAAAAUCCAACCAGAGAAGAAACCAGUAGAGCUGAAGGGCUGGUCAGAUGAAGAGAGUGAAGUGAGGAGUUUCCUUCAGUGUCUGCCCUACAUCUCACAGCUGAGUUUCUAUCCAUGGUGGCCUGAUCCCUCAAAGCAGAUCAAGUUCCUGGUGGAUCUCCUGUGUCAGGCAGCAGAGUGGGAGGAGCAGACAGGAGAGAAGACACUGAAGCUGGUAUCAUCAGUGUGUACUUACAGCACUUUCCCCUUCUGUGAAGAUGUUGUUGAUGAUGGUGAUGUGAUUAAGGAAAAUCAGUGUCAUUUCCUGCUGGAUCUGUACUCACAUGUGAAGGACUAUGAGACUCAAACAGGCAGGAGUGUCCUUCCAGCAUUACAGCCAGUUUACCAGUCAGCUCCUGCAGUCUGGUCCAUCGACCUCUCAGAGAGAAAGGCCUCCCUCCUCCUAGAAGUGCUGAAACUCCAACCAGAGAAGAAACCAGUAGUCCUGAAGGGCUGGUUAGAUGAAGAGAGUGAAGUGAGGGGUUUCCUUAAGUGUCUGUCCUACAUCUCACAGCUGAGAUUUCUUCCACUGAAGGAUAAUAUAGAGAGGAGAAAGAGAAAGAAGACAUUCCUACUGAAUCUGUGUCUUCAAGCAGCUCUCCAUGAGAGAGGAACCAUACAAACAACUGUAGAGAAAGUGAUGUCACUGUCUAAAGUAUGUCACAAUCAGAAAUGUGAUUUCCUGCUGGAUCUGAGCUCACAUGUGAAGGACUAUGAGACUCAAACAGGCAGGAGUGUCCUUUCAGCAUUACAGCCAGUUUACCAGUCAGCCAGUCCUGCAGUGUGGUCCAUAGACCUCUCAAAGAGAAAGGCCUCCCUCUUCCUAGAAGUGCUGAAACUCCAACCAGAGAAGAGACCAGUAGAGCUGAAGGGCUGGUCAGAUGAAGAGAGUGAAGUGAGGAGUUUCCUUCAGUGUCUGCCCCACAUCUCACAGCUGAGUUUUUCUCCACCAUAUGAUCAGAGAAGAUCCCUUGAAGAGAGGAGAAAGAGAGAGAAGACAUUCCUACUGAAUCUGUGUCUUCAAGCAGCUCUUCAUGAGAGAGGAACCAUACAAACAACUGUAGAGAAAGUGCCACUGUCUGAAAUAUAUCACAAUCAGAAAUGUGAUUUCCUGCUGGAUCUGUACUCGUAUGUGAAGGACUAUGAGACUCAAACAGGCAGGAGUGUCCUUCCAGCAUUACAGCCAGUUUACCUGUCAGCCAGUCCUGCAGUCUGGUCCAUAGACCUCUCAGAGAGAAAGGCCUCCCUCCUCCUAGAAGUGCUGAAACUCAAACCAGAGAAGGAACCAGUAGAGGUGUGUGGCUGGUCAGGUGAAGAGAGUGAAGUGAGGAGUUUCCUUCAGUGUCUGCCCAACAUCUCACAGCUGAGUUUCUAUCCAUGGUGGCCUGUUCCCUCAAAGCAGAUCAAGUUCCUGGUGGAUCUCCUGUCUCAAGCAGCAGAGAGGGAGGAGCAGACAGGAGAGAAGACACUGAUGCUGGUGUCAUCAGUGUGUACUUACAGCGCUUUCCCCUUCUGUGACUGGCAUGAUGAGAAUAAGGAAGAUCAAUGUGAUUUCCUGCUGGAUCUGUUCUCACAUAUGAAGGAAUAUCAGACUCAAACAGACAGGAACGUCCUUCUAGCAUUACAGCCAGUUUACCAGUCGGCUCCUGCAGUCUGGUACAUAGACCUCUCAGCGAGAAAGGCCUCCCUCUUCCUAGAAGUGCUGAAACUCCAACCAGAGAAGAAACCAGUAGAGCUGAAGGGCUGGUCAGAUGAAGAGAGUGAAGUGAGGAGUUUCCUUCAGUGUCUGUCCUACAUCUCACAGCUGAGUUUCCCUCCAUGGUGGUCUGAUCCCUCAAAGCAGAUCAAGUUCCUGGUGGAUCUCCUGUCUCAAGCAGCAGAGUGGGAGGAGCAGACAGGAGAGAAGACACUGAAGCUGGUAUCAUCAGUGUGUACUUACAGCACCUUUCCUUUUCCCAAUGGAUACAUUUCUAAACAGAGUGAUUUCCUGCUAGAUCUGUACUCACAUGUGAAGGACUAUGAGACUCAAACAGGCAGGAGUUUCCUUCCAGCAUUACAGCCAGUUUAUCAGUCAGCUCCUGCAGUCUGGUCCAUAGGGCUCUCAGAGAGAAAGACCUCCCACCUCCUAGAAGUGCUGAAGCUCCAACCAGAGAAGAAACCAGUAGAGCUGAAGGGCUGGUCAGAUGAAGAGCGUGAAGUGAGGAGUUUCCUUCAGUGUCUGUCCUACAUCUCACAGCUGAGAUUUCCUCCACUGAAGGAUAAUGUAGAGAGGAUAAAGAGAGAGAAGACAUUCCUACUGAAUCUGUGUCUUCAAGCAGCUCUUCAUGAGAGAGGAACCAUACAAACAACUGUAGAGAAAGUGUUGUCACUGUCUGAAGUAUAUCACAAUCAGAAAUGGGAUUUCCUGCUGUAUCUGUACUCACAUGUGAAGGACUAUGAGACUCAAACAGGCAGGAGUGUCCUUCCAGCAUUACAGCCAGUUUACCAGUCAGCCAGUCCUGCAGUCUGGUCCAUAGACCUCUCAAAGAGAAAGGCCUCCCUCGUCCUAGAAGUGCUGAAACUCCAACCAGAGAAGAAACCAGUACAGCUGAUGGGCUGGUCAGAUGAAGAGAGUGAAGUGAGGAGUUUCCUUCAGUGUCUGCCCUAUAUCUCACAGCUGAGUGUUACUCCACCACAGGAACAGAGAAGAUCCCCUGAAGAGAGGAGAAAGAGAGAGAAGACAUUCCUACUGAAUCUGUGUCUUCAAGCAGCUCUCCAUGAGAGAGGAACCAUACAAACAACUGUAGAGAAGGUGUUGUCAUUGUCUGAAGUAUAUCACUAUCAGAAAUGUGAUUUCCUGCUGGAUCUGUACUCAUUUGUGAAGGACUAUGAGAUUCAAACAGGCAGGAGUGUCCUUCCAGCAUUACAGCCAGUUUACCAGUCAGCUCCUGCAGUCUGGUCCAUAGACCUCUCAGAGAGAAAGGCCUCCCUCCUCCUAGAAGUGCUGAAACUCCAACCAGAGAAGAAACCAGUAGAGCUGAAGGGCUGGUCAGAUGAAGAGAGUGAAGUGAGGAGUUUCCUUCAGUGUCUGUCCUACAUCUCACAGCUGAGUUUUACUCCUCCAUGGGAUCAGAGAAGAUGCCCUGAAGAGAGGACACAGAGAGAGAAGACAUUCCUACUGAAUCUGUGUCUUCAAGCAGCUCUCCAUGAGAGAGGAACCAUACAAACAACUGUAGAGAAAGUGUUGUCACUGUCUGAAGUAUAUCACAAUCAGAAAUGUGAUUUCCUGCUGGAUCUGUGCUCACAUGUGAAUGACUACGAGACUCAAACAGGCAGGAGUGUUCUUCCAGCAUUACAGCCAGUUUACCAGUCAGCCAGUCCUGCAGUCUGGUCCAUAGACCUCUCAGAGAGAAAGGCCUCCCUCUUCCGAGAAGUGCUGAAACUCCAACCAGAGAAGAAACCAGUAGAGCUGAAGGGCUGGUCAGAUGAAGAGAGUGAAGUGAGGAGUUUCCUUCAGUGUCUGCCCUACAUCUCACAGCUGAGUUUCUAUCCAGAUUGGUAUGAUCCCUCAAAGCAGAUCAAGUUCCUGGUGGAUCUCCUAUCUCAAGCAGCAGAGUGGGAGGAGCAGACAGGAGAUAAGACACUGAAGCUGGUAUCAUCAGUGUGUACUUACAGCACUUUCCCCUUCUGUGAUGAUGACGAUGAUGAUGAUGAUGAUGAUGAUGAGGAAUAUCAAAGUGAUUUCCUGCUGGAUCUCUACCCACAUGUGAAGGACUAUGAGUGUCAAACAGGCAGGAGUGUCCUUCCAGCAUUGCAGCCAGUUUACCAGUCAGCCAGUCCUGCCGUCUGGUCCAUAGACCUGUCAGAGAGAAAGGCCUCCCUCCUCCUAGAAGUGCUAAAACUCCAACCAGAGAAGAAACCAGUAAAGCUGAAGGGCUGGUAUGAUGAAGAGAGUGAAGUGAGGAGUUUCCUUCAGUGUCUGCCCUACAUCUCACAGCUGAGGCUGAAUGUGGGUAUGGCAGUGAAACUGUCCAGACUGGUUAGGAGGACAGAGAGAGGUGCUACUCCACUGACUGUCCCAGAACUCUCCCUGGUCCUAAAGAGCAGCCAGCCACCAGAGAGAGUGUUAUCCAGGGCUCUGAGUAGUGUGGCGUCCCUGCUGAGACUCUGGAGGGUUCAGUGUCUGGACCUGACUGACUUCUGGAUCCAGGGUCACUCUCUCAUCACACUGCUGUGUCACCAGGGACCUCUCUCUCUCAGGUCAGUCUGAAGCUGAUGUUUUUUAAAUAGAAAUAGUAACUUCAUUCACGUGUUUUUCUUCAUAUUUCUGACUGCCUGUAUGUUCCAACCUCCUAGACUGAACUCAGACACUCUGCAGCAGCUGACUGUAGUUGUGUAUGAAGCUCAGGACAAGGACUUGACUCAGUGGUUCCUGGAGAAGGUUGGUGGAGACCUGACCUCCUGCAGGCUGGACUGGGAAGUGCUUCUCUCUCUGCUGCAGCAUUCAACCUACAACAUCACUGUGGACCUCAGGAAGAACAGGCUUCUGGAGAAGAACAUCUCAGAUCUUCUCCCCUUUCUGGGAAGGGUUACUCUCAAGAGGUGGGAGAACUUCUUUCUCUAUUCAGACUUUCUAGAAAGAAGAAAAUAACUAUUUCUAUCCAGUGACAUGUUGUUCUGAGU